This is a non-coding RNA of Thelephora terrestris, 100 nucleotides long. Lineage: Eukaryota; Fungi; Basidiomycota; Agaricomycetes; Thelephorales; Thelephoraceae. The record is from the annotation of a GenBank genome assembly.
GGCACUUUGCCGGAGUGGUUAACGGGAUCGCCUGCUACUGGCCUCGGCUUGAGUCAGCGGUUGUGCAUUGCACGCGUGAGUUCGAAUCUCACAGGUGUCG